RNAcentral lists this transfer RNA (65 nucleotides) under Phytophthora megakarya. It matches the Rfam family "tRNA". Rfam says of the family: Transfer RNA (tRNA) molecules are approximately 80 nucleotides in length. The record is from Rfam by way of RNAcentral. Lineage: Eukaryota; Oomycota; Peronosporomycetes; Peronosporales; Peronosporaceae.
GGGCACGUAGCUCAGUGGUUUAGAGCACCGCCAUUAAUGCCCGGGUUCGAAUCCCGCCGAGUCCA